RNAcentral lists this ribosomal RNA (428 nucleotides) under uncultured Verrucomicrobiota bacterium. RNAcentral's name for it is "bacterial SSU rRNA". It matches the Rfam family "Bacterial small subunit ribosomal RNA", at positions 355 to 776 of the family's 1533-position model. The record is from RNAcentral. Lineage: Bacteria; Pseudomonadati; Verrucomicrobiota.
UCGAGAAUUUUUCUCAAUGGGCGCAAGCCUGAAGGAGCGACGCCGCGUGGGGGAUGAAUGGCUUCGGCCCGUAAACCCCUGUCAUUUGCGAUCAAACCACAUUAUUUAAAAGAUGAUGUGCUGAUAGUAGCGAAAGAGGAAGGGACGGCUAACUCUGUGCCAGCAGCCGCGGUAAUACAGAGGUCCCAAGCGUUGUUCGGAUUCACUGGGCGUAAAGGGUGCGUAGGCGGCCGGGUAAGUCUGCUGUGAAAUCCCGCAGCUCAACUGCGGAACUGCAUUGGAUACUAUCCGGCUAGAGGAAUGGAGGGGAGACUGGAAUUCUCGGUGUAGCAGUGAAAUGCGUAGAUAUCGAGAGGAACACCAGUGGCGAAGGCGAGUCUCUGGACAUUUCCUGACGCUGAGGCACGAAAGCCAGGGGAGCAAACGGG